This 206-nucleotide ribosomal RNA is filed under the name uncultured bacterium. Its description in RNAcentral is "partial 16S ribosomal RNA". It matches the Rfam family "Bacterial small subunit ribosomal RNA", at positions 568 to 775 of the family's 1533-position model. The record is from RNAcentral.
CGCGUAGGCGGGGAGGUAAGUCGGGUGUGAAAUCCCUCGGCCCAACCGAGGAACUGCGCCCGAGACUGCUUCUCUUGAGUCCCGGAGAGGAAGAUGGAAUUCCCGGUGUAGCGGUGAAAUGUGUAGAGAUCGGGAGGAACACCGGUGGCGAAGGCGGUCUUCUGGACGGUGACUGACGCUGAGGCGCGAAAGCGUGGGGAGAAGCG